CAAUGGGAGCGGCGGACGGGUGAGGAACACGUGGGAACAUNCCUUUCGGUUCGGCACAACUGCGGGAAACUGCAGCUAAUUCCGGAUACGCCCUUACGGGGAAAGAUUUAUCGCCGAAAGAUUGGCCCGCGUCUGAUUAGCUAGUUGGUGAGGUAAUGGCUCACCAAGGCUUCGAUCAGUAGCUGGUUUGAGAGAACGACCAGCCACACUGGGACUGAGACACGGCCCAGACUCCUACGGGAGGCAGCAGUGGGGAAUCUUGGACAAUGGAGGAAACUCUGAUCCAGCGAUGCCGCGUGAGUGAUGAAGGCCUUCGGGUCGUAAAACUCUUUUACCAGGGAAGAUAAUGACUGUACCUGGAGAAUAAGCUCCGGCUAACUUCGUGCCAGCAGCCGCGGUAAUACGAAGGGGGCUAGCGUUGUUCGGAAUUACUGGGCGUAAAGCGUGCGCAGGCGGUUUUUCAAGUCAGGGGUGAAAGCCCAGAGCUCAACUCUGGAAUUGCCUUUGAAACUGACGAACUGGAGUACGAGAGAGGUGAGUGGAAUUCCCAGUGUAGAGGUGAAAUUCGUAGAUAUUGGGAAGAACACCGGUGGCGAAGGCGGCUCACUGGCUCGUAACUGACGCUCAUGCACGACAGCGUGGGGAUCAAACAGGAUUAGAUACCCUGGUAGUCCACGCCGUAAACUAUGAACGCUAGCCGUUGGCCAGCUUGCUGGUCAGUGGCGCAGCUAACGCAUUAAGCGUUCCGCCUGGGGAGUACGGCCGCAAGGUUGAAACUCAAAGAAAUUGACGGGGGCCCGCACAAGCGGUGGAGCAUGUGG
RNAcentral lists this ribosomal RNA (821 nucleotides) under uncultured Alphaproteobacteria bacterium. RNAcentral's name for it is "bacterial SSU rRNA". It matches the Rfam family "Bacterial small subunit ribosomal RNA", at positions 87 to 944 of the family's 1533-position model. Lineage: Bacteria; Pseudomonadati; Pseudomonadota; Alphaproteobacteria. The record is from RNAcentral.